AAUGACAUGGGGAAAUGGAAGGAGAAAAAAAAAAACAAUGCUAAAAAGCCUAGAGAUGACCACAUAUGAAACGACCAUGUGUGUAAAGGAUUGCUGGAAAAUAAAUCAGGUACAACCUUUUCUGCUCCUUACCAAACAGUACCACCUUCCCCUUUGCCCUACUUCAACUCUGGAGAGAGCAGAAACCACAGCAAGAAAGCUGACAGGGAGGAAGAGAAGCAAGGAAAGGCACCCAGAGAAGAAGGAAGUAUGAGGAGAUUUUCCUCCAGUAUUCACUGUGAGAAACUGGUCCUGCUCCUGGAGGCAAAUUCACAAAAGCACGGAGGCCCUGAUGACUGAGUGCCCCCCAGUUUUUAAUCUCUGGGGCUCGUUGGCUCUGGGCCUCCAGCCACUCAUCAGUGAUGUUCAGGUUUCCCUACCUUGGCACUGCUUCCCACGGAGAGAUGGCCUGGAUUCUGCCAUGUAAAUCAAAGAAGAGAGGGCCUAACUCAGCUGCCUAGCCUGGAUCACCUGGAACCCAUUAGGAUACAGGAUCAUAAACACCUCUAUUUUCCCUUCAGAGAGAGACCAGAACCACUGGAGUUAAGCUACCUGCAUAAGAGUUGAGUGCGAUCAGCUGUACUUAAUCUUUAAAUGUCCAACCCACUGAUAACCUUUGGUUUGCUUUGAUAACUAUGAAAUAAAUUCU
RNAcentral lists this long non-coding RNA (688 nucleotides) under Homo sapiens (human). RNAcentral describes it as "HSALNT0393345". Lineage: Eukaryota; Metazoa; Chordata; Mammalia; Primates; Hominidae. The record is from RNAcentral.